AUUUAUAUAGUAUAAAAAUUAUAUUUGAUUUCCAAUCAAAAGAACUAAAUAAAUUAGUGUAAAUA
This 65-nucleotide transfer RNA is filed under the name Medon apicalis. RNAcentral's name for it is "tRNA-Gly". Lineage: Eukaryota; Metazoa; Arthropoda; Insecta; Coleoptera; Staphylinidae. The record is from RNAcentral.